UGGUUCUGGCAUCGAUGAAGAACGCAGCGAAAUGCGAUAAGUAAUGUGAAUUGCAGAAUUUUGUGAAUCAUCGAAUCUUUGAACGCACAUUGCACCUUUUGGUAUUCCGAGAGGUAUGCUUGUUCGAGUGUCGCUUAAAUAAAAUGUACCUUUUUGGGGUUUCUUUAAAGAAUAAACCAAAAGGGUGUGUGUUGAUCGUUUCUUCUUAGUUGAAGAACCUUUCCAAAAUCAGUUCGUAAGAGGGACCUAGAGUUGCAUGUGUACUGAACGCUUAAAUCUUCAAAUUUUCGUUCAAGAAGUGUAAUUUCUUGGCAGGUUUGGAGGGAGUCUUGGAUAAAAGAUUGUCAAAAAUUUUCAAUCCUUCACUCUACUUCAUAUAUUAUUAUCGACCUCGAAUCAAGUAAGAUUACCCGCUGA
RNAcentral lists this unclassified non-coding RNA (417 nucleotides) under uncultured fungus. RNAcentral's name for it is "partial contains 5.8S ribosomal RNA and internal transcribed spacer 2". The stretch from base 1 to 133 matches the Rfam family "5.8S ribosomal RNA", at positions 22 to 154 of the family's 154-position model. Lineage: Eukaryota; Fungi. The record is from RNAcentral.